This is a non-coding RNA of Anncaliia algerae PRA109, 80 nucleotides long. NCBI's taxonomy places the organism in Eukaryota, Fungi, Microsporidia, Tubulinosematidae. The record is from Rfam.
AGUAACGUGGCCGAGUGGUCUAAGGCGACUGACUCAAGAUCUGUUCCUCACGGGCGCGGGUUCGAAUCCCGCCGUUACUA